This 320-nucleotide unclassified non-coding RNA is filed under the name Hevea brasiliensis (rubber tree). The record is from RNAcentral. Lineage: Eukaryota; Viridiplantae; Streptophyta; Magnoliopsida; Malpighiales; Euphorbiaceae.
GCUUCAAUGAACCCAGCUGUGUCAUUUGGCCCAUCUUUGGUUAGCUGGACCUGGACUCACCAAUGGGUUUACUGGGCUGGACCACUUAUUGGUGGUGGGCUUGCUGGAUUCAUCUAUGAAUUCAUCUUCAUUAGCCACACUCAUGAGCAAAUCCCAAGUGGAGAUUUUUAAGUAGUGCUGAAUUUUUAUCAACUCGUUGUUUAAUUUUCAUUUUCUCUUUGUAAACUUCUUUGUUUGUUUGUCUAUGUUUAAUGGGCACUGUUGAAUUGUACUUUGUUUAUUCGGACGGCUUUUGUUAUUUAUUUUCUUUAUUUUGAUCG